Molecule: unclassified non-coding RNA, 123 nt
Filed under: uncultured Ascomycota
Lineage: Eukaryota; Fungi; Ascomycota
Description: sequence contains ITS2
Source: RNAcentral
AACUAUCAAGCCCAGCUUGGAUUUGAAAGCUUAAGCACUGCUUAACUUUUUAAUGACAUUGGCGAUUAAACCAACACGGUGACUCGUUCGUUGUUUAAUCUGCCUUAUUAUCAUCUUUUUAAA